Molecule: ribosomal RNA, 500 nt
Filed under: uncultured bacterium
Lineage: Bacteria
Description: partial 16S ribosomal RNA
Rfam family: Bacterial small subunit ribosomal RNA
Source: RNAcentral
AAUCAACGCUGGCGGCGUGCCUAACACAUGCAAGUCGAACGCGAAAGCCCCGCAAGGGGUAAGUAGAGUGGCAAACGGGUGAGUAACACGUGGGUGACCUGCCUUCGAGUGGGGGAUAACGUCCCGAAAGGGACGCUAAUACCGCAUGACAUCCUGCUUUUGAAAAAGCGGAGAUCAAAGCUGGGGAUCGCAAGACCUAGCGCUUGAAGAGGGGCCCGCGCCUGAUUAGCUAGUUGGUGAGGUAACGGCUCACCAAGGCGACGAUCAGUAUCCGGCCUGAGAGGGCGGACGGACACACUGGGACUGGGACACGGCCCAGACUCCUACGGGGGGCAGCAGUGGGGAAUUGUUCGCAAUGGGCGCAAGCCUGACGACGCAACGCCGCGUGGAGGACGAAGAUCUUCGGGUCGUAAACUCCUGUCGAGCGGGACGAACGCUUCGCGGAUGAAUAAUCCGCGGAAUUGACGGUACCGCUAAAGGAAGCCCCGGCUAACUCCGUG